UACCGUAUUUUAUAAGAACAUAGAUGCAGUUUGUGUUUGUGUGAAACAUGAAACAUUCAUCUUAUGAACAAUUCAUACCAUAAUUUCAAGAAGAACUCUCCUUUGCCUUAUAACAUAGCCUAAUUUUGUGACUCAAUACUGGAGAAGUAAAUAUUUUUCUGAAUUCUUAUAGCCUCCUUUGGAGUUACUCUCGUCUACUUUUAUAAUACUCAAUUUGUCUUAAGUUGGGUACCAUUUGCUAUUUUAGAUCCAUUAAUAAUGUAAGUGGCUAGGAUAAAAGUGAACUCCUGAAAAUGUGUCUUCGACUCCCUGACCCUUCCACUCCAGGGUAAAUACAUAAGCACAAAGGAAAAUGUGUAUGGGAAUCCUAGAGGCUAGGUUGAACUUUAUAGAAAUACUUAGUCUAAGUAGAUUUCACUGCUUAAAACCAAAGAUUAAACCUUCACCUCCCAAACUCCUACCAGAAUCUCAGAUUCCACAAGAAGGAAAGAAUUUUGG
Long non-coding RNA from Perognathus longimembris pacificus (Pacific pocket mouse), 498 nucleotides. RefSeq lists it as uncharacterized. The record is from RefSeq and is a predicted model, not a curated record. NCBI's taxonomy places the organism in Eukaryota, Metazoa, Chordata, Mammalia, Rodentia, Heteromyidae. The transcript has 3 exons.